GACGAACGCUGGCGGCGUGCUUAACACAUGCAAGUCGAACGGAAAGGCCCUGCUUUUGUGGGGUGCUCGAGUGGCGAACGGGUGAGUAACACGUGAGUAACCUGCCCUUGACUUUGGGAUAACUUCAGGAAACUGGGGCUAAUAUCGGAUAGGAGCUACUGCUGCAUGGUGGGGGUUGGAAAGUUUCGGCGGUUGGGGAUGGACUCGCGGCUUAUCAGCUUGAUGGUGGGGUAGUGGCUUACCAAGGCUUUGACGGGUAGCCGGCAUGAGAGGGUGACCGGCCACAUUGGGACUGAGAUACGGCCCAGACUCCUACGGGAGGCAGCAGUGGGGAAUAUGGCACAAUGGGCGGAAGCCUGAUGCAGCAACGCCGCGUGCGGGAUGACGGCCUUCGGGUUGUAAACCGCUGUCGCCUGUGACGAAGCGUGAGUGACGGUAAUGGGUAAAGAAGCACCGGCUAACUACGUG
This 468-nucleotide ribosomal RNA is filed under the name uncultured bacterium. RNAcentral describes it as "partial 16S ribosomal RNA". It matches the Rfam family "Bacterial small subunit ribosomal RNA", at positions 28 to 507 of the family's 1533-position model. The record is from RNAcentral.